Molecule: ribosomal RNA, 324 nt
Filed under: uncultured Bacteroidota bacterium
Lineage: Bacteria; Pseudomonadati; Bacteroidota
Description: bacterial SSU rRNA
Rfam family: Bacterial small subunit ribosomal RNA
Source: RNAcentral
GAUGAACGCUAGCGGCAGGCCUAAUACAUGCAAGUCGUACGGGAUUGAGGACUUCGGUUCUCAUGAGAGUGGCGCACGGGUGCGUAACACGUAUGCAACCUACCUUUAUUUGGGGGAUAGCCUUUCGAAAGAGAGAUUAAUACCGCAUAAGACAGCACGAUCGCAUGAGAGAGCUGUUAAAGUUUCGGCGAAUAAAGAUGGGCAUGCGUUGCAUUAGCUAGUUGGUAAGGUAACGGCUUACCAAGGCUACGAUGCAUAGGGGAUCUGAGAGGAUGAUCCCCCACACUGGUACUGAGACACGGACCAGACUCCUACGGGUGGCUG